Molecule: ribosomal RNA, 227 nt
Filed under: Lacticaseibacillus rhamnosus
Lineage: Bacteria; Bacillati; Bacillota; Bacilli; Lactobacillales; Lactobacillaceae
Description: partial 23S ribosomal RNA
Rfam family: Bacterial large subunit ribosomal RNA
Source: RNAcentral
UUGGUACCGCUUGUACAGGAUAGGUAGGAGCCGUAGAGAUCGGAACGCUAGUUUCGAUGGAGGCAUUGGUGGGAUACUACCCUAGCUGUAUGAACACUCUAACCCGCGCCACUAAUCGUGGCGGGAGACAGUGUCAGGUAGGCAGUUUGACUGGGGCGGUCGCCUCCUAAAAUGUAACGGAGGCGCCCAAAGGUUCCCUCAGAAUGGUUGGAAAUCAUUCGCAGAGU